This 253-nucleotide ribosomal RNA is filed under the name uncultured bacterium. RNAcentral describes it as "partial 16S ribosomal RNA". It matches the Rfam family "Bacterial small subunit ribosomal RNA", at positions 524 to 776 of the family's 1533-position model. The record is from RNAcentral.
UACGGGGGGGGUAAGCGUUGUUCGGAAUUACUGGGCGUAAAGGGCUCGUAGGCGGCCAACUAAGUCAUACGUGAAAUCCCUCAGCUUAACUGGGGAACUGCGUGUGAUACUGGAUGGCUUGGAUUUGGGAGAGGGAUGCGGAAUUCCUGGUGUAGCGGUGGAAUGCGCAGAUAUCAGGAGGAACACCGAUGGCGAAGGCAGAGCUCUGGGCCGUAACUGACGCUGAGGAGCGAAAGCAUGGGGAGCGAACAGG